AGCGGCCCACACGGAGCGUCUCUCUUCCCGGAAACUGAAACACGAGGCGAGAAAAAACAUUUUCCACCGGCUCUUUCUCUUUGUCCACCCACCUCCCUGCUGAAGCAACAUCCACAGUAACACCAUGGCGACUGUAGUAGACACAAAACUAUACGAUAUUCUCGGCGUGACUCCGAACGCUACUGAGAAUGAGCUGAAGAAGUCAUACCGGAAACUGGCAAAAGAAUACCACCCUGACAAGAACCCAAAUGCUGGCGACAAGUUCAAAGAAAUUU
Molecule: long non-coding RNA, 275 nt
Organism: Notothenia coriiceps (black rockcod)
Lineage: Eukaryota; Metazoa; Chordata; Actinopteri; Perciformes; Nototheniidae
Exons: 4
Source: RefSeq, a predicted model, not a curated record